Molecule: ribosomal RNA, 468 nt
Filed under: uncultured bacterium
Lineage: Bacteria
Description: partial 16S ribosomal RNA
Rfam family: Bacterial small subunit ribosomal RNA
Source: RNAcentral
GAUGAACGCUGGCGGCGUGCCUAACACAUGCAAGUCGAGCGAUUCUCUUCGGAGAAGAGCGGCGGACGGGUGAGUAACGCGUGGGUAACCUGCCCUGUACACACGGAUAACAUACCGAAAGGUAUGCUAAUACGGGAUAAUAUGCUUUGAUCGCAUGGUCGAAAUAUCAAAGCUCCGGCGGUACAGGAUGGACCCGCGUCUGAUUAGCUAGUUGGUGAGGUAAUGGCUUACCAAGGCGACGAUCAGUAGCCGACCUGAGAGGGUGAUCGGCCACAUUGGAACUGAGACACGGUCCAAACUCCUACGGGAGGCAGCAGUGGGGAAUAUUGCACAAUGGGUGAAAGCCUGAUGCAGCAACGCCGCGUGAGCGAUGAAGGCCUUCGGGUCGUAAAGCUCUGUCCUCAAGGAAGAUAAUGACGGUACUUGAGGAGGAAGCCCCGGCUAACUACGUGCCAGCAGCCGCGGUAA